This 253-nucleotide ribosomal RNA is filed under the name uncultured bacterium. RNAcentral describes it as "partial 16S ribosomal RNA". It matches the Rfam family "Bacterial small subunit ribosomal RNA", at positions 524 to 776 of the family's 1533-position model. The record is from RNAcentral.
UACGGAGGGGGCUAGCGUUGUUCGGAAUUACUGGGCGUAAAGGGCGUGUAGGCGGCUCUGCCAGUCAGGCGUGAAAGCCCCGGGCUUAACCUGGGAACUGCGCUUGAUACUGCGGAGCUAGAGUUCGGGAGAGGAGAGUGGAAUUCCCAGUGUAGAGGUGAAAUUCGUAGAUAUUGGGAAGAACACCAGUGGCGAAGGCGGCUCUCUGGACCGAUACUGACGCUGAGGCGCGAAAGCGUGGGGAGCAAACAGG